GGAAUAACCCACUUGGGUUUUGCUUGGCCGCUAGUGCUAAGCUAUACCAUUGGAGCUAGCUACCUUUUCGAGUUGUGAGGUAUUUUGACCCAAAAGAAAGAACCAAAAACAGGAGGGUAGGGGAUGUCGGGAAGAAAAAUCUCAGUCAUCAUGAUGAAUGCAAUCUUAUAAUCUUAAUUUUAUGGAAGAAAUGUGAGAACUAUUAAUUAAUGGUUGAAAAGCUUAUAGGAACACGGUGAUGAUACAUGUCCCUAAUUAGGAAAUAAAAAUACUAAAAUAUUCUUAUCAUAGUUGAUAAACAUUAUAAAUGGGUCCGAUAAUUACACUAGGAUUUGAUUGGCGAACCAUAUGAAAUUACUUCUCCAUGACAUUAGAAUAUGGUCUUUCAUCCUUAUCAUACCGAUGAAACUUAUUGAUGUGCUUGUUUUGGUUCGAUUUAUAAGCUUCUUUGACAUAUUUUCCAGGGUUGAUGUUUAAGGAGGCCAAAUAAUAAUGAAGAAAGAGGAGUGUUUGCUAUUGUUGAGGUCCAACUUGUUCACCAGCUGGAUUAUGAUUUUGACUAUAGACAUAAUUACAUCCACUCACAAAUUGGCAGCACUGGAACUACUGGUCAACUUGAUAGUAGUUAAUAGCAAGGGAAAGACCAAGACUUGGAGCAAAAAUGGAGGACCAGAGACCAAGACUCGGAGCAAAAACGGGGGGACAAGUGACACAGACUUUUGAAGCCAACUUUUAGAGCAGGAAUUUGGCUUUUAUAUUGGAGGAAUUGAUUGAAGCCUGAAUUAUUAGAUAAUAGAUUUUAUGGUUCAUGUAUGUAUGUAUGACUAAUCAAAUUCCAUCGUCUACGACACGUUUCUAAUAAUGACAAGGUCCAUAUAACUGCCUGACGUGGUCUUCA
Long non-coding RNA from Ziziphus jujuba (common jujube), 898 nucleotides. RefSeq lists it as uncharacterized. The record is from RefSeq and is a predicted model, not a curated record. Lineage: Eukaryota; Viridiplantae; Streptophyta; Magnoliopsida; Rosales; Rhamnaceae. The transcript has 3 exons.